CAACAAAAGAACCAAAGAGAAGUGUGAUUCAGCAGCAGGCAUUCCAGGCAACACUAAUGAAAGAUGCCAAUAUAUCAGAAAACAGAAUAAAUAAAUGCUUCAAAUUUGUUUAUUCUCAAUAGUUCACUUUAUUACGGCAUUACCAAGGAUUGCACAAGUAGCAAGAGUUUUAGAAACAUGGUUUUGGGAAUGUUCCUCAUUAUAACUUUCAUCAAGUUCGAACUAAAUAUUUAAUAUCUUAAUCUUCAUCAUGUUUGAAUUAAAUGUUCACCACAUCAUGAUUCCUAGCUCGAAUCGAGUUUCCAAACAUUUCAAUUGUUUUUCUGUUUUCAUUUCAAACCCUCUCAAAAA
Molecule: long non-coding RNA, 351 nt
Organism: Ipomoea nil (Japanese morning glory)
Lineage: Eukaryota; Viridiplantae; Streptophyta; Magnoliopsida; Solanales; Convolvulaceae
Exons: 2
Source: RefSeq, a predicted model, not a curated record